Molecule: ribosomal RNA, 233 nt
Filed under: uncultured bacterium
Lineage: Bacteria
Description: partial 16S ribosomal RNA
Rfam family: Bacterial small subunit ribosomal RNA
Source: RNAcentral
CGGGACGGGUGGGGAGUGUCUGGGAAACUGCCUGAUGGAGGGGGAUAACUGCUGGAAACGGUAGCUAAUACCGCAUAACGUCGCAAGACCAAAGAGGGGGACCUUCGGGCCUCUUGCCAUCGGAUGUGCCCAGAUGGGAUUAGCUAGUAGGUGGGGUAACGGCUCACCUAGGCGACGAUCCCUAGCUGGUCUGAGAGGAUGGCCAGCCACACUGGAACUGAGACACGGUCCAG